GCUAGUAAUCGCAGAUCAGAAUGCUGCGGUGAAUACGUUCCCGGGUCUUGUACACACCGCCCGUCACACCAUGGGAGUCGAUAACGCCCGAAGUCAGUGACCCAACCGAGAGGAGGGAGCUGCCGAAGGCGGGAUGGAUAACUGGGGUGAAGUCGUAACAAGGUACC
Molecule: ribosomal RNA, 167 nt
Filed under: uncultured bacterium
Lineage: Bacteria
Description: partial 16S ribosomal RNA
Rfam family: Bacterial small subunit ribosomal RNA
Source: RNAcentral